RNAcentral lists this ribosomal RNA (492 nucleotides) under uncultured bacterium. RNAcentral's name for it is "partial 16S ribosomal RNA". It matches the Rfam family "Bacterial small subunit ribosomal RNA", at positions 29 to 507 of the family's 1533-position model. The record is from RNAcentral.
AGUGAACGCUGGCGGUAGGCCUAACACAUGCAAGUCGAACGGCAACACAGUAAGAGCUUGCUCUUACGGGUGGCGAGUGGCGGACGGGUGAGGAAUACAUCGGAAUCUACUUUUUCGUGGGGGAUAACGUAGGGAAACUUACGCCAAUACCGCAUACGACCUACGGGUGAAAGCAGGGGAUCUUCGGACCUUGCGCGAUUGAAUGAGCCGAUGUCGGAUUAGCUAGUUGGCGGGGUAAAGGCCCACCAAGGCGACGAUCCGUAGCUGGUCUGAGAGGAUGAUCAGCCACACUGGAACUGAGACACGGUCCAGACUCCUACGGGAGGCAGCAGUGGGGAAUAUUGGACAAUGGGCGCAAGCCUGAUCCAGCCAUACCGCGUGGGUGAAGAAGGCCUUCGGGUUGUAAAGCCCUUUUGUUGGGAAAGAAAAGCAGCAGGUUAAUACCCCGCUGUUCUGACGGUACCCAAAGAAUAAGCACCGGCUAACUUCGUG